CAGGAACCCAUCCACCCGUCCCCAGCUCUCAUCACUCUGACCUCUGGCUUUUUGUUUCCUGGGGCAUUUCACAGCAAAUUCCACCUAUGAGACCGUCUCAUCCGUAAUACACCAGUACAUGCUUCCAGCAGCUUGGUGACAUGAAAGGACCUCCGUGGCUGGCCUUACUCCCUGUGGAUGCCACAGCUGCAGGAUCCUGGGGCCCCAACAGAAGCCGGUGAAGGAAGAGUUCCUGCUCCAGCAGGUGCCUGGUCUCCACCUUCAGGGGCUGCUCCAGGAGAGUGGCAAUUUGGGGCAGCAGGAGGAAA
This 308-nucleotide long non-coding RNA is filed under the name Homo sapiens (human). Its description in RNAcentral is "non-protein coding lnc-WRAP73-2:2". The record is from RNAcentral. Lineage: Eukaryota; Metazoa; Chordata; Mammalia; Primates; Hominidae.